Molecule: transfer RNA, 72 nt
Filed under: Camelus bactrianus (Bactrian camel)
Lineage: Eukaryota; Metazoa; Chordata; Mammalia; Artiodactyla; Camelidae
Also listed under: 1 other name
Rfam family: tRNA
About the family: Transfer RNA (tRNA) molecules are approximately 80 nucleotides in length. Their secondary structure includes four short double-helical elements and three loops (D, anti-codon, and T loops). Further hydrogen bonds mediate the characteristic L-shaped molecular structure. tRNAs have two regions of fundamental functional importance: the anti-codon, which is responsible for specific mRNA codon recognition, and the 3' end, to which the tRNAs corresponding amino acid is attached (by aminoacyl-tRNA synthetases). tRNAs cope with the degeneracy of the genetic code in two manners: having more than one tRNA (with a specific anti-codon) for a particular amino acid; and 'wobble' base-pairing, i.e. permitting non-standard base-pairing at the 3rd anti-codon position.
Source: Rfam by way of RNAcentral
GCGGGUAUAGCUCAGUGGCAGAGCACAUGCUUAGCAUGCACGAGGACCUGGGUUCAAUCCUCAGUUCCUCCA